This 252-nucleotide ribosomal RNA is filed under the name uncultured bacterium. RNAcentral describes it as "partial 16S ribosomal RNA". It matches the Rfam family "Bacterial small subunit ribosomal RNA", at positions 524 to 775 of the family's 1533-position model. The record is from RNAcentral.
UACAGAGGGUGCAAGCGUUGUUCGGAAUUAUUGGGCGUAAAGCGCGUGUAGGCGGCUAGACAAGUCGGGUGUGAAAGCCCUCGGCUCAACCGAGGAAGGGCGCCCGAAACUGUCUUGCUUGAGUCCCGGAGAGGGUGGCGGAAUUCCCCAAGUAGAGGUGAGAUUCGUAGAUAUGGGGAGGAACACCGGUGGCGAAGGCGGCCACCUGGCCGGAUACUGACGCUGAGACGCGAAAGCGUGGGGAGCAAACAG